RNAcentral lists this ribosomal RNA (274 nucleotides) under uncultured bacterium. RNAcentral's name for it is "partial 16S ribosomal RNA". It matches the Rfam family "Bacterial small subunit ribosomal RNA", at positions 523 to 796 of the family's 1533-position model. The record is from RNAcentral.
AUACGGAGGGGGCUAGCGUUGUUCGGAAUUACUGGGCGUAAAGCGUACGUAGGCGGACUGAUCAGUUGGGGGUGAAAUCCCAGGGCUUAACCCUGGAACUGCCUUCAAUACUGUCAGUCUUGAGUUUGGGAGAGGUGAGUGGAAUUCCUAGUGUAGAGGUGAAAUUCAUAGAUAUUAGGAGGAACAUCCGUGGCGAAGGCGGCUCACUGGCCCAUUACUGACGCUGAGGUGCGAAAGCGUGGGGAGCAAACAGGAUUAGAAACCCUAGUAGUCC